RNAcentral lists this ribosomal RNA (374 nucleotides) under uncultured organism. Its description in RNAcentral is "bacterial SSU rRNA". It matches the Rfam family "Bacterial small subunit ribosomal RNA", at positions 526 to 896 of the family's 1533-position model. The record is from RNAcentral.
CGUAGGGUGCGAGCGUUAAUCGGAAUUACGUGGGCGUAAAGCGCGCGCAGGCGGUUUGUUAAGAUAGGCGUGAAACUCCCCGGGCUCAACCUGGGAACUGCGCUUAUGACUGGCAAGCUAGAGUACGGCAGAGGGGGGUGGAAUUCCACGUGUAGCAGUGAAAUGCGUAGAGAUGUGGAGGAACACCAAUGGCGAAGGCAGCCCCCUGGGUCGAUACUGACGCUCAUGCACGAAAGCGUGGGUAGCAAACAGGAUUAGAUACCCUGGUAGUCCACGCCCUAAACGAUGUCAACUAGGUGUUGGGAGGGUAAAACCUUUUAGUACCGGAGCUAACGCGUGAAGUUGACCGCCUGGGGAGUACGGCCGCAAGGUUA